AAGUGAUUCUCCAGCCUCAGCCUCCCAAGUAGCUGGAACUAUAGGGGCCCACCACCAUGAUCAGGGAUCUUUGAUCUCAGGCUGAAUGGAGGAAGAAGAGCUUUUCUAGUUGACGCCUGUCACAGAGAUCUGAUGAAGUCAAUGUAAAUGAGUCCGCAGAAGCUUGAUAGCCUAUAGAAGUCCUUGAAAAUCCCGAAUGGCACGAGAAGGUUGAAAACUAGUCAAGAUGCUGAUAUCUUCAAGAAGUUAAAUAUAACCUAAAAAAAUUAUUUGUCACAGAAUAAGGUUGGUUUAAAAAAUUGUAAAGGGGAGGAGAGUGGAGAUUCAAGCCUAGAGAGGAAGGCUGAAUAAGAAGAAAGUAAUUGUGAAGUCAACUGUAAAAUAUUUCCUGGGUCUCACCUGGUAAAUCCACACGGGCUUCCUGAAAGAGGAAGGCUAGAGUUACUUUUGAGUUGCCUUUCAAAUGAUAAGCAGGGUCCUUGAGUAAACAGGAAAUGAAAGACUCGAGAGAGUAGCUGAGGAAGGAUGCAGAAGUGAAAAGGAGAGGGGAGCCAUCAGCACCCCAGAUUUAAUUUGAUGGAGAAUUUUCUCUAUUUGUUUAUGUGUGUGCCCGUCUUUAUUAGACUGUCUGUUUGCCUUUCAAGGGCUGGGACUGUGCCUCAUUCACCUUCAUAUUCUAGUAUAAUGCAAGCUUAGGAAAUUAUUGUCUAAAUACAUACACUCAGACAUAAAUGGAUGAGAGUAAGAAUAAAGGCAUAAGUGGUGGUAUUUAGCAGCAGCCUUGGCUGUGAGCUUAAGACUGUUUUUUGUGACCUGCCAUCUUCCUUUGCGCAACAACACAGCUCAUGAUGAUGUUCCAGAGCAUUUUGCCACCAGAAAAUGAGGCUUGCUUUUGGUCUUUUGAAGGAAGACUGCAGUGAACAGUUAAAUUGACUUUAAAUUUAGCAGCAUUGGGCAAGAAUAGAAAUGUUCUAAUCCUGUCUCCUCCUACGGAAUGUGAAUUGUGGUCAAAGUAAUAUGUUUUUGCCUUCUGUGAUUUCGAUCAAAUUUCAUAGGCCAGACAGGGCGUAGGGAGCCAGGCUGCACAGCCACUCUCCCUGGUAAACAGUGUCACACCUCCCUUGGACAGCCCAGGGUACCAUGUGUGCCCUGGCGUUACAGACACCUCACCAGGGCUUGUCUGUUCUCCCUGCCUUGUUUCUCAGCCCAGUGUUCAUGUGGAGUUUGGCUUCCUCUUCUUAGAACUGGGAAAGGCAACGCUGUGCAGGUGUGAGAGGUACAUACACAUGCGCCCAGAAGAUGCUGCCCCAGAAAAACAUACCCAGGGCCUGUAUUUGACUCAGAGUUUAAGGUCUUACUUUUCAUUAGAAAAUAAGAUCACUAGCUCUAAAAUUUCCACUGGGGAAGACUGGGUUGGCUUAGCAGGGCAGUGCUAUCUGAUGGGCAGCUGUAUUCUAUAAAGUAGAUGAGGGAAGAUGACAGAAUGGCAUGUCUGUGGGCAGAAAGCAGAAGGGAAAUUGGCUUCCCUUCAUAGGCCACUAAGGAAAGGGUUAUCCAGUGGCCUGCUGGAUUUGACACUAUCUGCCUGCCACAUCUGAGCUCAGCAUUUUUGCUUUGACACGCAUGGGUCAUUCUACCCAUUGAGCUUCAGCAAUUCCCUAUUACAGAUGCUUAUUGGCAACAGAAUCUUAAGUCCAAUAAAGGAGCAAAGAGAUUUUACUUUGGAAGGAAAUACUAUGGAUUCUUCAGUCAUUCAGAGGCCUCACCUCCUCCCUUAAUGAGUGCUCCCAAUGUAAAGGUAUAAUGACUGGCUAACUAAAUGCUUUGGGGGUAUAGGAAUGAGGACACACAUCUAGAAAAGUGGAUUUUAGAAGAAGAAAAGACAGUAUAAUGAAAACAAGUUUAAGAAAGAGCAAAAAUAAAAUUUGACUUAUGUAUAUCAAUUGUGAUGAACUGUAAUUAUGCAUUACAUGGAACAAGUCUACACAAUCAGAUAAGAAUUCUUCACUAAUUUCCUCUUUAUUUGUCUAUGUCAUAAUCCACACUAGGGAAGAAACAACCUCUACUUUUUAAAAGUCACAAAUAUUAAGCCUAUAAAAAUAUCAAUAUCUUAUCAAAGUUUAGCUCAAAUUUAUACAGGAAAACAAAGGUUCAUUCCAACCCACCUAGCUUCUUCUGAUGGUUUAUUAAGUAGUAUUUAAGAAAAUUGAGUCUCAUAUUAUCUGGCCAAAAGAUAUUUUUCUUGCCUCUGUAUUAUUAAACAACACUUACUGAGACUAUUCAUCAGAUGUCCAGAUUAAUCUUGACGGUGAAGAAUACAUGAACUCUAUAUGCAAUCUUAAAAAGGAGUAAUAUAAUAUGCUAGUUUUCUCUUUCGUGUCCAUUCCUCAAAACUUGAUUAUUAUUAGGUUAGGCUCAUCCUUUACUAAUUACCUUUAGUUAAGAUUUCUUAGUUUGCAAAAAUUAUUGAAUUUAUAUUGACUUAACUGAAUGAGCAUUUGAAAACUGUCUCUCAUAGUUCAUCAUGAGUACUGAAUUGUUCCUCCUCUUUUUCUUUAAGUUUCUUCUCUUUACUACAUAUUUUUCCCCAACCAGUUAUUUUUGUUGUUGUUAUUUGCUUCUUAAAAAUUCUGUGAGGCUUAUUUUUAGAAUAUUUUAUAAAUCUGGCUAUGUCUAAGAAUGGCAAACUAUGAUAAUUGAUGUACUUAAUAUUUGCUAACACAUGUCUAUUCCACUGUCAAUGAAAAGACUGUGCUUGCUUUGAUCAAGAAUUAGCCAAAAUUUGGAACUCUCAGAAAGCUAUUUAUUUAUUCCAGAACAAAGCAUUUGGUUUGUACUACCAUCAAAAUAUUCUAAGUGGCUAGUUACACUGGUAAAAAAAAUAAGAUAUCUCUUUUGUUCAGGCCUUCAGAAUUUUAACAUCAUACAAAAUCAAUAAAGCUCUUAAAUGUAAAUCUAUGAAGAUGAGACACACUGAUUUCUUGGCUAUUGUUUACUGAGGUGAUUAAAAAAAGCCUUGCAGCCCAAACAGAAUUUUAUUUUCUCUGUCAAUAAGAACAAUAUACUUCCAUGGAUAAGUAUGUCAUCUAUGGAAGCAUUUCAGAUGUCUGUGUUGCAGAUGCAGAAGUUAUCUCUUGGGAUUUCCCUGCACCACAUCACAUACUAGACUAUCCAUUGUAGGAAAAGAUGGUUGGGUCGAUUAUAGGAGUUGUCCUUGGAAUCAAUUCCAAGCGCUCCAGAAACUUACAUCUAUAGGUCUGACUUAAUGUAAUUCAUAAUUGUCCCAUGUUAUAGGUCUGACCUAAUGUAAUCCAUAAUUGUCCCAUGUUAUUUUUUAAAAUGUGGCUGAUAUAGAUCUCCUAGAAAAAGGUCACAUAAUUAGAAUUAUUUCAGUAUUUAAUUUACAGGGAAAUUCGGGGGUUCAAAGUAGUCAGGAGAUGCUUUAAGUGAAAGACGUUGCCUAAGGCCGUUCUAGUAAGUAUGAUAACGGUUUGUAAAAUCACCAUCAGCUACAUCGUCAUUUGAAAACAGAUUUAAGAAAUAUAUAUAUACUCAAAGCACUGCACUAAAGGAAAACAGACCAAGACUAGUAAUAUUAAUCCACUGUCAUCCAGUUGGCUGGCCUACCUGCUACAGAAGCUGAGGCUCAGCUGGCCUGCCAAUGGGCUUGAGCCCGUGGGGAUCUGUGACUGUACCAUGACUCACUGACCCUGCAAAAGCCAAACUGGCUCCGUUGUCUUUGUCCAGAGUCCUCAUUUCAAGGCCUUGGCCUCUCUUGCCUCUUUACCAAGGUAAAAGGCAGCAAUAAGUAUGAAGAGUCAGACAAAAAAAAAAACA
RNAcentral lists this long non-coding RNA (3837 nucleotides) under Homo sapiens (human). RNAcentral describes it as "HSALNT0218780". The record is from RNAcentral. Lineage: Eukaryota; Metazoa; Chordata; Mammalia; Primates; Hominidae.